ACCUGACUUGUGCGCCAAUUGAUGAUACGUAUGGAUGAAGUGAUUACAGUUAGAAUCUAUUGAUGAUACGUAUGGAUGCAGUGAGUACAGUUAGAAGCUAUUGAUGAUACGUAUGGAUGAAGUGAUUACAGUUAGAAUCUAUUGAUGAUACGUAUGGAUGCAGUGAGUAAGUAAUAACGUGUGAUGCAGCAAUAGGAGUGGAAGGCGGUUGUAUCCCUAAUUCCCACAUCAUUGCCUCAUGGUAUUAUGGUGGAUAUACUGGCUUUGCUCCAUGGCGUGGGCGUUCAAACAAUCAACCAGCACUGCCAUAUUUUAACAAAGCAGAUGCAGGUGCCUGGGUCGCUCACCAACGAUCUUCAGGAGAGUAUUUACAAAUAGACGCUGGGCGUAGCUUUUAGCUUAUUAAGAUAGCUACACAAGGAAGACCAUAUGCCUAUAACAGCUGGUCGACUUCUAACACCUUGGCUUACGGUGAUAAUUGGCAGUAAUGGACGGACUAUAUAAUUCAAGGACAAUAAAAGGGACACUUUUGUAAGCCACAAACUUUCUCGGCUGAUCAAGACUCGGUUUGUAAGGUUUAUUGUCCUUAAUUGGUAUGGUCGCAUUGCCCUCAGAGUAGAGUUGUAUACUAUGCAAAAGUGCCUUGGGUCUGCCUAAUCUGCAGUGAUGAACACCAAUACAAGUCUUGCAUGCUUGCAGAAUAUAUUAGCUAGCAGAGUACAAUACAUACAACUAAAUCACUUGGAAGCAGGAAAAAAAUCUCUUCAUUUAGAAAAUAGUCAUUAUCAAAUAGUUAUGCGCAUAUAUGGAACAAAAACCAUGCCUAUCCAAAAUCACGUGACAAUAAAAAAAUAGAAGGUCUUUUGCAUAAUUUUUAACAAAUAAAACAGCUUUUUAAUAAUUUUAUUUCGAUAUUGAAUUUAUUUAGGCAAAAACUAUAUAAUAAACAAAUACAAAACAUCAUAAACAUCAAUAAAUAUAGACUAAUUUACAUUAUAUCCUUAUAAAGUUUAUACGUCACAUUUCUCAAACUCACUGUAAUAGCCAGAAAAAUAUAUUUAUAGUGAGCUAGACCGGAAAAAAAUGUUUUCGUUUUGAUAUGGACUAUUAUUUCACAAUAUUAUUUGCAGAAGGCGAAGUGAUUAUCGGUGGAAUAUUUACCGAGCCCUAAGUCUUCGAGAGGCAAGGUAAAUAUUACCAUAUUCACUGAGCCUGAGGGUAAUAAUCGUUUUAGUAAAAUUUUAGAUUUGAACAUCAGAGAAAAGUGGAAAUUCAGGAUAAAAAAACGUUUAGUAUUACUUCCAAUUUGGAAAACUUUUGAAAACCUUAUGAUCACCACUCCAGCAGUGAUCAUCGUCUCAGAAUCACUUGACCAAUCACGGCCAGCUAUAUUCAAACUAUAUUCAAAUCUAAAAUUAUACUAAAACAAUAUAGUUAGAGGAACCUCUGUGACUAACCAAAAUAAAGGGGGGACAUGGCUCCUUGCACCCACCUCUAAAUCUCUCUAAUGGCCAUGUUAUAAAGCACCCUGACUGGUAACUGGUACUAAUGACAAUGUUAUAAAGCACCCUGACUGAUAUUAGAUUAAUGGUUACUUCACUGAGUAAUUCAAGACUAAUUUCUACUGAAAAAGAACACAACAAUAUAAUUUAUACAAUAUCAUGAGAUUACAAUCUGCUGAACAGGAGAAAAUAUGUGUAGAAGGCUGCUCAGUCAUUUAACACUGUAUACCCAGUAGUUAUUUAAAAAUAUAUUCAUUUGUAUUUAAUGUUGGUUCUGCACAUCCAUUAACUAUUAAACAUCUGUUGUUCUGAAA
Molecule: long non-coding RNA, 1816 nt
Organism: Actinia tenebrosa (Australian red waratah sea anemone)
Lineage: Eukaryota; Metazoa; Cnidaria; Anthozoa; Actiniaria; Actiniidae
Source: RefSeq, a predicted model, not a curated record